AGGGCACCACCAGGAGUGGAGCCUGCGGCUUAAUUUGACUCAACACGGGGAAACGCACCCGGCCCGGACACCGGAAGGAUUGACAGAUUGAUAGCUCUUUCUUGAUUCGGUGGAUGGUGGUGCAUGGCCGUUCUUAGUUGGUGGAGCGAUCUGUCUGGUUAAUUCCGAUAACGAACGAGACUCUAGCCUAUUAAAUAGACGUCGGGUUCUCUGCACUCGACGGUCUUCUUAGAGGGACAAGGUGCUUUUAGCACCGCGAAACAGAGCAAUAACAGGUCUGUGAUGCCCUUAGAUGUCCGGGGCCGCACGCGCGCUACACUGAAGUGAUCAGCGUGCAUUUGUUCUCGCUCCGUGAGGAGCGAGUAACCCAAGGAACCUUCUUCGUGCUUGGGAUUGGGGAUUGUAAUUAUUGCCCAUGAACGAGGAAUUCCCAGUAAGCGCGAGUCAUUAGCUUGCGUUGAUACGUCCCUGCCCUUUGUACACACCGCCCGUCGCUACUACCGAUUGAAUGAUAGAGUG
RNAcentral lists this ribosomal RNA (519 nucleotides) under uncultured eukaryote. RNAcentral's name for it is "bacterial SSU rRNA". It matches the Rfam family "Eukaryotic small subunit ribosomal RNA", at positions 1161 to 1703 of the family's 1831-position model. The record is from RNAcentral.